RNAcentral lists this ribosomal RNA (1121 nucleotides) under uncultured bacterium. RNAcentral describes it as "bacterial SSU rRNA". It matches the Rfam family "Bacterial small subunit ribosomal RNA", at positions 17 to 1146 of the family's 1533-position model. The record is from RNAcentral.
UCCUGGCUCAGAGCGAACGCUGGCGGCAGGCCUAAUACAUGCAAGUCGAGCGGUUCCUUCGGGAACAGCGGCGGACGGGUGAGUAACGCGUGGGAACGUGCCCUUUGGUACGGAACAACUGAGGGAAACUUCAGCUAAUACCGUAUGUGCCCCCCUUCUUAGCGGGAGGGGUGGGAAAGAUUUAUCGCCAUUGGAGCGGCCCGCGUUGGAUUAGGUAGUUGGUGAGGUAAAGGCUCACCAAGCCUACGAUCCAUAGCUGGUCUGAGAGGAUGAUCAGCCACACUGGGACUGAGACACGGCCCAGACUCCUACGGGAGGCAGCAGUAGGGAAUCUUGCGCAAUGGGCGAAAGCCUGACGCAGCCAUGCCGCGUGAAUGAUGAAGGUCUUAGGAUUGUAAAAUUCUUUCACCGGGGACGAUAAUGACGGUACCCGGAGAAGAAGCCCCGGCUAACUUCGUGCCAGCAGCCGCGGUAAUACGAAGGGGGCUAGCGUUGCUCGGAAUUACUGGGCGUAAAGGGAGCGUAGGCGGAUAGUUUAGUCAGAGGUGAAAGCCCAGGGCUCAACCUUGGAAUUGCCUUUGAUACUGGCUAUCUUGAGUAUGGAAGAGGUAUGUGGAACUCCGAGUGUAGAGGUGAAAUUCGUAGAUAUUCGGAAGAACACCAGUGGCGAAGGCGACAUACUGGUCCAUUACUGACGCUGAGGCUCGAAAGCGUGGGGAGCAAACAGGAUUAGAUACCCUGGUAGUCCACGCCGUAAAUGAUGAGUGCUAGUUGUCGGCAUGCAUGCAUGUCGGUGACGCAGCUAACGCAUUAGCACUCCGCCUGGGGAGUACGGUCGCAGAUUAAACUCAUAGGAAUUGACGGGGGCCCGCACAAGCGGUGGAGCAUGUGGUUUUAUUUCGAGGCUACGCGCAGGUCUACCAUCUUUUGAUAUGCCCCGACCACCACACAGAUCUGGCCUUUCCUUCCAGGACUGGACGCGCCGCUUCUGUGUCUGCGUUGCGCGGUCAGAGUGUGGUGUUAUUCUCCGCGGAGACUACCUCGCGCCUAGGUAAAUUAAUAGAUUCAGUCUACCAUCUGGCCGACGGGAGACCAUGGUUAGUAGCUCUACAGACCAUAUC